UGAGGAAUUUUCCGCAAUGGACGCAAGUCUGACGGAGCAACGCCGCGUGCAGGACGAAGGUCUUCGGAUCGUAAACUGCUUUUCCCAGGGAAGAGAAUGGACGGUACCUGGGGAAUAAGCCCCGGCUAACUACGUGCCAGCAGCCGCGGUAAUACGUAGGGGGCGAGCGUUGUCCGGAUUUAUUGGGCGUAAAGGGCACGCAGGCGGUCCAUUAAGUUCAGGGUGACAGUCAUCAGCUUAACUGAUGAAGUGCCUUGAAAACUGGUGGACUUGAGAGCGAGAGAGGGACACGGAACUCCGGGUGGAGCAGUGAAAUGCGUAGAGACCCGGAAGAACACCAAAGGCGAAGGCAGUGUCCUGGCUCGUUUCUAACGCUCAGGUGCGAAAGCGAGGGGAGCGAACGGGAUUAGAUACCCCGGUAGUCC
This 425-nucleotide ribosomal RNA is filed under the name uncultured bacterium. Its description in RNAcentral is "bacterial SSU rRNA". It matches the Rfam family "Bacterial small subunit ribosomal RNA", at positions 355 to 796 of the family's 1533-position model. The record is from RNAcentral.